Molecule: ribosomal RNA, 254 nt
Filed under: uncultured bacterium
Lineage: Bacteria
Description: partial 16S ribosomal RNA
Rfam family: Bacterial small subunit ribosomal RNA
Source: RNAcentral
UACGUAGGGGGCAAGCGUUGUCCGGAUUUAUUGGGCGUAAAGAGCUCGUAGGCGGUUUGGUAAGUCUGGUGUGAAAUCUCCACGCUCAACGUGGAGGGGCCACCCGAUACUGCCAUGACUGGAGUCCGGUAGAGGAGUGUGGAAUUCCCGGUGUAGCGGUGAAAUGCGCAGAUAUCGGGAGGAACACCAGCGGCGAAGGCGGCAAACUGGAUAGGCACUGACACUCAACAACGAAAGCGUGGGGAGCAAACAAG